CUGCCUCUGUCUCAUGCGUUCAUCUAUUCUGGAAAUGAACGAUACUAAAUCCUCUAAAUUUUCCGGAAGUUCUCUUGUGGCAAUCUCAUCUAGAAUUUCAUCAGACAACCCAUUCAAGAAUACAUCCAUAAAAGCUUGUUCGUUCCAUUUCACUUCUGCUGCCAAUGAUCUAAACUCUAAAGCAUAUUCUACAAGGGUCCUAUUCUGUUGUUUAAGGCGUAACAGGGAUCUGGCCGC
RNAcentral lists this long non-coding RNA (237 nucleotides) under Pelobates cultripes (western spadefoot toad). The record is from RNAcentral. Lineage: Eukaryota; Metazoa; Chordata; Amphibia; Anura; Pelobatidae.